CGCCUCUUGCUAAAACCGAAGAAUAAGAGGUACUGCCUGCCCUGUGACCAUAGGUUUAACGGCCGCGGUAUUUUGACCGUGCGAAGGUAGCGCAAUCACUUGUCUUUUAAAUGGAGACCUGUAUGAAUGGCAAGACGAGGGCUUAACUGUCUCCUCCCCCCAGUCAAUGAAAUUGAUCUUCCCGUGCAGAAGCGGGAAUAUGAACAUAAGACGAGAAGACCCUAUGGAGCUUUAGACAUAAGGCAGCCCAUGUUAAACACCCCCUGAUAAGGCCUCUAAACAAAAUGGACCCUCCCCGAAUGUCUUUGGUUGGGGCGACCGCGGGGAGAUAAACAACCCCCACGUGGAAUGGGAGGACCCCUCCCAAAGCCGAGAGCGACAGCUCUAAGCAACAGAAUUUCUGACCAUUAUGAUCCGGUACUACCGAUCAACGGACCGAGUUACCCUAGGGAUAACAGCGCAAUCCCCUUUCAGAGUCCCUAUCGACAAGGGGGUUUACGACCUCGAUGUUGGAUCAGGACAUCCUAAUGGUGCAGCCGCUAUUAAGGGUUCGUUUGUUCAACGAUUAAAGUCCU
This 575-nucleotide ribosomal RNA is filed under the name Fistularia petimba (red cornetfish). Its description in RNAcentral is "partial 16S ribosomal RNA". It matches the Rfam family "Bacterial large subunit ribosomal RNA", at positions 1816 to 2597 of the family's 2925-position model. The record is from RNAcentral. Lineage: Eukaryota; Metazoa; Chordata; Actinopteri; Syngnathiformes; Fistulariidae.